CUACAUGCAGUCGAGGGGCAGCAUAAAUUACUUGUAAUUUGAUGGCGACCGGCGAACGGGUGCGUAACGCGUAUGCAACUUACCUUUUACUAGAGAAUAGCCAAGAGAAAUUUUGAUUAAUGCUCUAUGUUCUUAUUUACUCGCAUGAGUAAAUAAGCAAAGCUCCGGCGGUAAAAGAUGGGCAUGCGUCCUAUUAGCUUGUAGGUGAGGUAACGGCUCACCUAAGCUCCGAUAGGUAGGGGUCCUGAGAGGGAGAUCCCCCACACUGGUACUGAGACACGGACCAGACUUCUACGGAAGGCAGCAGUAAGGAAUAUUGGACAAUGGAGGCAACUCUGAUCCAGCUAUGCCGCGUGAAGGAAGACGGCCUUAUGGGUUGUAAACUUCUUUUAUACAGGAAGAAACCUUUCCACGUGUGGAAAGCUGACGGUACUGUAAGAAUAAGGAUCGGCUAACUCCGUGCCAGCAGCCGCGGUAAUACGGAGGAUCCAAGCGUUAUCCGGAAUUAUUGGGUUUAAAGGGUCCGCAGGCUGUUUGUUAAGUCAGAGGUGAAAGCCUACCGCUCAACGGUAGAACUGCCUUUGAUACUGGCAAACUUGAGUUAUUGUGAAGUAGUUAGAAUGUGUAGUGUAGCGGUGAAAUGCAUAGAUAUUACACAGAAUACCGAUUGCGAAAGCAGAUUACUAACAAUAUACUGACGCUGAGGGACGAAA
RNAcentral lists this ribosomal RNA (713 nucleotides) under uncultured Bacteroidota bacterium. Its description in RNAcentral is "bacterial SSU rRNA". It matches the Rfam family "Bacterial small subunit ribosomal RNA", at positions 51 to 758 of the family's 1533-position model. Lineage: Bacteria; Pseudomonadati; Bacteroidota. The record is from RNAcentral.